This 241-nucleotide ribosomal RNA is filed under the name uncultured bacterium. RNAcentral describes it as "partial 16S ribosomal RNA". It matches the Rfam family "Bacterial small subunit ribosomal RNA", at positions 537 to 776 of the family's 1533-position model. The record is from RNAcentral.
AGCGUUGUUCGGAUUUACUGGGCGUAAAGGGCGCGUAGGCGGCCAGCGCAAGUCAGUUGUGAAAUCUCCGGGCUUAACUCGGAACGGUCAACUGAUACUGCGCGGCUAGAGUGCAGAAGGGGCAACUGGAAUUCUCGGUGUAGCGGUGAAAUGCGUAGAUAUCGAGAGGAACACCUGCGGCGAAGGCGGGUUGCUGGGCUGACACUGACGCUGAUGCGCGAAAGCCAGGGGAGCGAACGGG